This 248-nucleotide ribosomal RNA is filed under the name uncultured bacterium. RNAcentral's name for it is "partial 16S ribosomal RNA". It matches the Rfam family "Bacterial small subunit ribosomal RNA", at positions 523 to 769 of the family's 1533-position model. The record is from RNAcentral.
AUACGUAGGUGGCAAGCGUUGUCCGGAUUUAUUGGGCGUAAAGCGAGCGCAGGCGGUUUUUUAAGUUCUGAUGUGAAAGCCUUCGGCUUAACCGAAGAAGUGCAUUAGAAACUGGGAAACUUGAGUGCAGAAGAGGACAGUGGAACUCCAUGUGUAGCGGUGAAAUGCGUAGAUAUAUGGAAGAACACCAGUGGCGAAGGCGGCUGUCUGGUCUGUAACUGACGCUGAGGCUCGAAAGCAUGGGUAGC